UCCUGUUUCAUUUGGGCAUGAGCCUUGAAG
RNAcentral lists this non-coding RNA (30 nucleotides) under Mus musculus (house mouse). Lineage: Eukaryota; Metazoa; Chordata; Mammalia; Rodentia; Muridae. The record is from RNAcentral.